This 518-nucleotide ribosomal RNA is filed under the name Clibanarius virescens. RNAcentral describes it as "partial 16S ribosomal RNA". It matches the Rfam family "Bacterial large subunit ribosomal RNA", at positions 1831 to 2597 of the family's 2925-position model. Lineage: Eukaryota; Metazoa; Arthropoda; Malacostraca; Decapoda; Diogenidae. The record is from RNAcentral.
GUCUACAUGAAGCUAAAUAUAGUUUGACCUGCCCACUGAUGUAUUAAAGGGCCGCGGUAUUUCUGACCGUGCGAAGGUAGCAUAAUCAAUAGUCUUUUAAUUGGAGGCUUGUAUGAAUGGUUGGACGAAAAAUAUACUGUUUCAAAUAAAACAUUUGAAUUUGACUUUUAAGUGAAAAGGCUUAAAUGGGUUAAAAAGACGAUAAGACCCUAUAAAUCUUUACAUUUUUUUUUGUAUUUUUUUAUUUAUUUGGUAUUAAUUAUUAAAUAUAAAAGGUGUGUUAUGUUGGGGCAAUGAUAAUAUAGUAAAAUUAAUUAUUAGAGUAAUUAAACAAAAAUUUUUGUUAGUGUAAAAUAGGUCCUUGUUGAAGAGUAUAAGAUUAAGUUACUUUAGGGAUAACAGCGUUAUUUUUUCUGAGAGUUCUUAUCGAAGAAAGAGAUUGCGACCUCGAUGUUGAAUUAAAAAAUCUUCUUAGUGCAGUAGUUAAGAAAGAAAGUCUGUUCGACUUUUAAAUUUUU